RNAcentral lists this ribosomal RNA (497 nucleotides) under uncultured bacterium. RNAcentral describes it as "partial 16S ribosomal RNA". It matches the Rfam family "Bacterial small subunit ribosomal RNA", at positions 28 to 507 of the family's 1533-position model. The record is from RNAcentral.
GAUGAACGCCGGCGGCGUGCCUAAUACAUGCAAGUCGAGCGAACGGACGAGAAGCUUGCUUCUCUGAUGUUAGCGGCGGACGGGUGAGUAAUACGUGGAUAACCUACCUAUAAGACUGGGAUAACUUCGGGAAACCGGAGCUAAUACCGGAUAAUAUUUUGAACCGCAUGGUUCAAAAGUGAAAGACGGUCUUGCUGUCACUUAUAGAUGGAUCCGCGCUGCAUUAGCUAGUUGGUAAGGUAACGGCUUACCAAGGCAACGAUGCAUAGCCGACCUGAGAGGGUGAUCGGCCACACUGGAACUGAGACACGGUCCAGACUCCUACGGGAGGCAGCAGUAGGGAAUCUUCCGCAAUGGGCGAAAGCCUGACGGAGCAACGCCGCGUGAGUGAUGAAGGUCUUCGGAUCGUAAAACUCUGUUAUUAGGGAAGAACAUAUGUGUAAGUAACUGUGCACAUCUUGACGGUACCUAAUCAGAAAGCCACGGCUAACUACGUG